AGGCAAGGAGGGGAAGUAGAGAGUAAGAGAUCAAGCUUGUCCCCUCUCUCCUGCUGGUGGGUUGCAAGAAGGGGAUUACAUGUGUGGUGGAAGCACAGCCUGUAAAUAAAAGCACCAGGUGGGCACUGCACUAAAAGUCCCUGUGUGACUUUCUCAGCCCAGCAGGGGACAGGAGGUCCCUGCAGGGAUGCUGCUACACAUAGGGGCUUGUCUGGGAUUGUGCCAGAGCAAGAGUUUGGCAGUCUGAAAUGGAAGAGACCUUGCAGUGACUGAUCAAGCAGCAGGGAAAGCUGCAGAAGGCGGUGGAAAGCUUCAAGCACCCCCAGCAGCUGGAGAAGCAGGCCCUGCUCAGCUGGCAAGAUGAGCAGCAGAAGAGCCUGCAAGGUUUUAUUCGGGAGCAGACCACUGUUCAACAUCAGCUCCUCCAGAAGGUGGCUAUGAUACUGUUUUCCAUAUGGCUGGGUACAAUAUUUAUGGGGAAACAUGGACUUCAGAGAAACUUGGAGAAGGAUGUUCUACAGAAUGAAACAAUCAUUUCAGCAGAAAAGUUCAUCUGCAACAUGUACAAUUUAUCUGAUGAGCAGAGCUGCCACAGAUAGGAACAUAGAGAAGAAGGAAGGUGUAUGACUGUCCUGAGGGCCACAGGGAUUCUCCCAUUCAUUUCAUGGAAUCUACAGAUAAGGUACUCAGCAAAGGUGGAUUGGUGCUCUUGGGACUGGUGGAGAAUGGCAG
Molecule: long non-coding RNA, 732 nt
Organism: Mauremys reevesii (Reeves's turtle)
Lineage: Eukaryota; Metazoa; Chordata; Testudines; Geoemydidae
Exons: 4
Source: RefSeq, a predicted model, not a curated record